Molecule: long non-coding RNA, 2415 nt
Organism: Triplophysa dalaica
Lineage: Eukaryota; Metazoa; Chordata; Actinopteri; Cypriniformes; Nemacheilidae
Exons: 3
Source: RefSeq, a predicted model, not a curated record
AUUAAUCAUCAUCUCACUCAGAGCUCAGACGCACUUUAGAGUCACACUUUACAUGCUUACAUUGUUUUUCAUGUUAUUGUUAACCACAGGUAAUCUGUUCUACCCACAAUGCAGACUCAAAUUAUUGUUUUAUUUCGGCGUUAAAAUUUUUAGACAGAGAAGAAAGAUAGCGAAUAAUGAAGAGUACAGAACAACAGCGCACAAGAUCUCAGGAGAAGAGUUGUUACAAACUCCUUAGACAUGAGAGCAUUGUUACAAAACCGAACUUCGCUCAUGAUGAUAACAGACCAACAGAUCAGAACGACAUAUUUGAAUAGAUCAAAGAUAAGAAAACUACAGUGCAGUAAAGAUGUGGAACUACUUCCACACACCUACUAGGAAUUGGCUGUAGCUCAUGAUGAACAUUAAGUGUAAAGCUGAGCUCGAAAUGCUUAAAUCAAAUAUAGAACACUAACAGAAGCAUCAGAAAGACAAUAACACAAAAGCCACUGGGAAUUCAGUGGACAAUUGAGAGACACAUGCAAAAUGAGGUGAGCAAACAUCCACUGAAAAUCUUGAUGAAGAUGAAACUGUACAUGCACAAACAAGAAAGAGCCACUGGACACUAAAGACUUUUCACAAGGUAGGAAUUGAGGUUAUAAGCCAGUUUUUUUACUUUUUUUGUGAAAAUAAUAAAGUGCCAAAAUGUGAUCAAUUCCAUCAGUCAAAGACUUAUUUGCAAACUUUGUUUAUAGGUAGCAGGAAUUUUUACCUAUUUUUGAUCUAUUCUACCUCAAUUGUUUGCACUUUUUAUAAAUACAGUAUGUUAAAAACAAAAUAUGAAUUGCACAGUUAAUCACUAAAUAUGGCUAAAAUUACUUAAAAUGGUUCAAAUAUUUUAGAUAACCUAUUAACUACACAACACAUUCUUUCCCAAAACUGACAUUCUAAAGUAGCUGUGUAUUGUAAGGUUAUCUUCAAGAAACUAACCCCCUCUUUUUCUCAACAGGUAUUGGACUAGCUUUUGUUGAAACUAGUAACUUUGUAUUGGCACCUAUUGUAUUAUUGCUCCUUUAUGACAUAUCGCUUAUUGCUCCCUAAACUUUUUGUAAGUCACUUUGAAUAAAAGCGUCUACUCAAUGACUAAAUGUUAAAGUAAAUGUUUAUUUUUAUUAUAGUAGAUGUCACGUGCAGGGCUUUAAAAACAAUACCAUAUGUUACCAGUAGAUGGCUCUAAAAGUCUUUUAAACUAAAGGAGCCUAAAUGGUGAUGUAUAGCCAAACCCUGACCUAUUGUUUCAGUAUACUGUAGGUGUGGUGCAUGGUACUUUGAUGUAUUCUGUGAUAUUUACGUAAUACGAUACUUAAUUUAUACCAAAGUACCAGUGAGGUCCAAUUGAGGUUAUUGUUACUGUGAAUCCUUCAAUGAUGUACAGCGCCUGCUAAACAUUUUUGGUAAAACAUUCAUUUGGGACAACUUGCCUAGGCCUACAUCUCCUCAUGAUUCUGUCAGACCCUUUAUAUAAACCUCCCGUUUUACUAGAUGGAAAGUUGUACAAUGCCAUCUCUUUAUUCUAAAAAAAAUAAUAAUUUAAUAUGAAAUAUAAACGAUUUCAAGAAAUGUAUUUAAUAUCAAUUACAGAAUUUUAUUUAAUGUAAUUUGCUUUCUAUAUCUUAAGCAUGUUAUUUGGCAAUGUUAUGAAUAUUUUAUAAAUAAAGAAUGUAUAGUCACAUUGUACGUUGGACACUAGGGGCCGUAUUGCCAGAACACCAACAGUAGGCUACAUUAAAAUCUACAGAGAACACAGUUUUCCAAGGUCUAUUAUAUCUUUGUUCAAGGUUUUAAAAGAGCAGGCAGUCUAUUUAUUUAUAAAUAAACAUGCUGAGCAGUUUGGACAUUGUUAACAAUAGGCCUAUAGUUAUAAUUACUAUAAUGCAUUUUCUAUCGUAAUGUAAAUUCUAUUUAAAAAAUCUUCUCAGAUAAACAAUUUCGCUAAACCCAUUUUCAGUUCAAAUGUUUCAGAAAUGUUUCUUUUCAAACAGUUGUCAUUUUACAGACAGGAUAUUCACGUGAAGUCUUUCUCUAAAAAUCUUGUGUGUGACUUGGCUUAAUCUUGCCUGGGAAACCAGCCCUCUGGGUUAGUCAAGGUCAAAGCUUUUGAAAACAAAUACCCAAGUACAGUUUUUUCCCAUGUUUAUACUUUCCGCAAAUGUUCUUUUGUCAGUAAAAGCUGUAAAAUACGGUUUUACAAAUCUGUUCAUGUUUGAUCACAGUCUUGUCGUAGGGGCCACACUCCUGUUCCUGCUGAACUGAGCCAGUAUUUUACUACAACUGAUGUCAGCUCAGAAGGCACAGGAGGUCAGGUCCUGAUGGCACAACACACUGUUUCAUAAACAACUCAUUCAAGAAAAUAUAAUAAAAUCAUUUACACUGGUA